This 119-nucleotide ribosomal RNA is filed under the name Amborella trichopoda. Lineage: Eukaryota; Viridiplantae; Streptophyta; Magnoliopsida; Amborellales; Amborellaceae. The record is from RNAcentral.
GGGUGCGGACAUACCAGCACUAAUGCACCGGAUCCCAUCUGAACUCCGAAGCUAAGUAUGCUUGGGCAAGAGCAAUACUAGGAUUGGUGACUUACUUGGAAGUCCUCAUGUCGUAUCUC